Molecule: long non-coding RNA, 1889 nt
Organism: Bufo gargarizans (Asiatic toad)
Lineage: Eukaryota; Metazoa; Chordata; Amphibia; Anura; Bufonidae
Exons: 3
Source: RefSeq, a predicted model, not a curated record
AGGAGUGUGUGUGAGGACGGUACAGGAAUAGUAGAUACAGGAGGAGGUGUAGUGUAGAGGAGUGUGUGUGAGGACAGUACAGGAAUAGUAGAUACAGGAGGAGGUGUAGUGUAGAGGAGUGUGUGUGAGGACGGUACAGGAAUAGUAGAUACAGGAGGUGUAGUGUAGAGGAGUGUGUGUGAGGACGGUACAGGAAUAGUAGAUACAGGAGGUGUAGUGUAGAGGAGUGUGUGUGAGGACGGUACAGGAAUAGUAGAUACAGGAGGAGGUGUAGUGUAGAGGAGUGUGUGUGAGGACGGUACAGGAAUAGUAGAUACAGGAGGUGUAGUGUAGAGGAGUGUGUGUGAGGACGGUACAGGAAUAGUAGAUACAGGAGGAGGUGUAGUGUAGAGGAGUGUGUGUGAGGACGGUACAGGAAUAGUAGAUACAGGAGGAGGUGUAGUGUAGAGGAGUGUGUGUGAGGACGGUACAGGAAUAGUAGAUACAGGAGGAGGUGUAGUGUAGAGGAGUGUGUGUGAGGACGGUACAGGAAUAGUAGAUACAGGAGGAGGUGUAGUGUAGAGGAGUGUGUGUGAGGACGGUACAGGAAUAGUAGAUACAGGAGAGGUGUAGUGUAGAGGAGUGUGUGUGAGGACGGUACAGGAAUAGUAGAUACAGGAGGUGUAGUGUAGAGGAGUGUGUGUGAGGACGGUACAGGAAUAGUAGAUACAGGAGGAGGUGUAGUGUAGAGGAGUGUGUGUGAGGACGGUACAGGAAUAGUAGAUACAGGAGGAGGUGUAGUGUAGAGGAGUGUGUGUGAGGACGGUACAGGAAUAGUAGAUACAGGAGGAGGUGUAGUGUAGAGGAGUGUGUGUGAGGACGGUACAGGAAUAGUAGAUACAGGAGGAGGUGUAGUGUAGAGGAGUGUGUGUGAGGACGGUACAGGAAUAGUAGAUACAGGAGGAGGUGUAGUGUAGAGGAGUGUGUGUGAGGACGGUACAGGAAUAGUAGAUACAGGAGGAGGUGUAGUGUAGAGGAGUGUGUGUGAGGACGGUACAGGAAUAGUAGAUACAGGAGGUGUAGUGUAGAGGAGUGUGUGUGAGGACAGUACAGGAAUAGUAGAUACAGGAGGAGGUGUAGUGUAGAGGAGUGUGUGUGAGGACGGUACAGGAAUAGUAGAUACAGGAGGUGUAGUGUAGAGGAGUGUGUGUGAGGACAGUACAGGAAUAGUAGAUACAGGAGGAGGUGUAGUGUAGAGGAGUGUGUGUGAGGACGGUACAGGAAUAGUAGAUACAGGAGGAGGUGUAGUGUAGAGGAGUGUGUGUGAGGACAGUACAGGAAUAGUAGAUACAGGAGGAGGUGUAGUGUAGAGGAGUGUGUGUGAGGACGGUACAGGAAUAGUAGAUACAGGAGGUGUAGUGUAGAGGAGUGUGUGUGAGGACAGUACAGGAAUAGUAGAUACAGGAGGAGGUGUAGUGUAGAGGAGUGUGUGUGAGGACGGUACAGGAAUAGUAGAUACAGGAGGAGGUGUAGUGUAGAGGAGUGUGUGUGAGGACGGUACAGGAAUAGUAGAUACAGGAGGAGGUGUAGUGUAGAGGAGUGUGUGUGAGGACGGUACAGGAAUAGUAGAUACAGGAGGAGGUGUAGUGUAGAGGAGUGUGUGUGAGGACGGUACAGGAAUAGUAGAUACAGGAGGAGGUGUAGUGUAGAGGAGUGUGUGUGAGGACGGUACAGGAAUAGUAGAUACAGGAGGAGGUGUAGUGUAGAGGAGUGUGUGUGAGGACGGUACAGGAAUAGUAGAUACAGGAGGAGGUGUAGUGUAGAGGAGUGUGUGUGAGGACGGUACAGGAAUAGUAGAUACAGGAGGAGGUGUAGUGUAGAGGAGUGUGUGUGAGGACGGUACAGGAAUA